This 466-nucleotide ribosomal RNA is filed under the name uncultured bacterium. Its description in RNAcentral is "partial 16S ribosomal RNA". It matches the Rfam family "Bacterial small subunit ribosomal RNA", at positions 28 to 505 of the family's 1533-position model. The record is from RNAcentral.
GACGAACGCUGGCGGCGUGCUUAACACAUGCAAGUCGAACGGAAAGGCCCUGCUUUGUUGCGGUGCUCUAGUGGCGAAGGGGUGAGUAACACGUGAGUAAGCUGCCCUUGACUGUGGGAUAACUUCAUGAAGCUGGGGCUAAUACCGGAUAGGAGCUCCUGCUGCAGGGUGGGGGUUGGAAAGUUUCGGCGGUUGGGGAUGUACUCGCGGCUUAUCAGCUUGUUGGUGGGGUAGUGGCUUACCAAGGCUUUGACGGGUAGCAGGCGUGAGGGGGUGACCGGCCACAUUGGGACUGAGAUACGGCGGAGACUACUACGGGAGGAAGCAGUGGGGAAUAAUGCAGGACGGGCGGCAGCAGGAUGAAGCAACGACGCGUGGGGGAUGACGGAGGUCGGGUUGUAAAACGGUUUCGUCUGUGACGAAGCGUGUGUGACGGCAAUGGGUAUAGAAGCACGGGAAAACCAUG